Molecule: ribosomal RNA, 567 nt
Filed under: fuel tank bacterium 10B
Lineage: Bacteria
Description: bacterial SSU rRNA
Rfam family: Bacterial small subunit ribosomal RNA
Source: RNAcentral
UCCUACNGGGNAGCAGCAGUAGGGAAUCUUCCGCAAUGGACGAAAGUCUGACGGAGCAACGCCGCGUGAGUGAUGAAGGUUUUCGGAUCGUAAAGCUCUGUUGUUAGGGAAGAACAAGUACCGUUCGAAUAGGGCGGUACCUUGACGGUACCUAACCAGAAAGCCACGGCUAACUACGUGCCAGCAGCCGCGGUAAUACGUAGGUGGCAAGCGUUGUCCGGAAUUAUUGGGCGUAAAGGGCUCGCAGGCGGUUUCUUAAGUCUGAUGUGAAAGCCCCCGGCUCAACCGGGGAGGGUCAUUGGAAACUGGGGAACUUGAGUGCAGAAGAGGAGAGUGGAAUUCCACGUGUAGCGGUGAAAUGCGUAGAGAUGUGGAGGAACACCAGUGGCGAAGGCGACUCUCUGGUCUGUAACUGACGCUGAGGAGCGAAAGCGUGGGGAGCGAACAGGAUUAGAUACCCUGGUAGUCCACGCCGUAAACGAUGAGUGCUAAGUGUUAGGGGGUUUCCGCCCCUUAGUGCUGCAGCUAACGCAUUAAGCACUCCGCCUGGGGAGUACGGUCGCAAGA